AGUAGUGUAUACAGCACGGGGCAGUAACCGCUCUACUGACGUCAACAACCUGUGGCCGACACAACACAACCAGAACUACCUACGUGUCAUAUCCUUCUCUUGUGUUUUUAGCUGUCAUUUCAGAGAACUGCUAGAGAGUUGAUCAUCAUGGGAACUGAAAAAAAUGUGCAAGGUAAUACUGCCCUGAAAUAUGUGAGUCUUGUGACAUUAACAGUGCAGAACUCUGCUGUGGCUCUCAGCAUGCGUUAUGCUCGCACUCGCCCCGGAGAUAUGUUUAUUGCUUCUUCUGCUGUUGUGGUGGCAGAGUUUGUGAAGCUGUUGGCAUCACUUCUCUUGGUAUACAAACAAGAGGGUUCCAUACAGCACUGGUUUAUGACAUUAAACACCCAGAUUUGGCAACAGAAGAUUGAUACACUGAAGGUCUGUGUCCCUUCAUUCAUCUACCUCAUCCAGAAUAAUUUGCUCUACGUGUCUGCAUCUAACCUGGAUGCUGCUACAUACCAAGUUACCUAUCAGAUGAAGAUUUUGACAACUGCCAUGUUUGCUGUGUUGAUUCUACAUAAACAGCUUCGUGGCACUCAGUGGUUGUCACUCUUACUUCUUACAUUUGGUGUUGCACUGGUUCAGCUGUCUUCAGUUGACAAAGGAGUCACAGCAGCAAAUAUUGGACAGAACCGUCUCCUUGGCUUUGUUGCUGCUGUCUCUGCUUGCUGUUGUUCCGGUUUUGCUGGCAUUUACUUUGAAAAAAUUUUAAAAGGGUCAGAUGUUUCAGUUUGGGUCAGAAAUGUACAGCUGUCAUUUCUCUCAGUACCAUUAGGUGUAAUGACUUCAUAUGCAAAUGAUUAUGCAGCCAUCACAGAUAAGGGAUUCUUUUAUGGCUAUGAUGCCUAUGUAUGCUAUCUUGUGGUCCUAAAUGCAGUUGGAGGAUUGCUGGUAGCCAUGGUAGUUAAAUAUGCAGAUAAUAUCCUCAAAGGUUUUGCAACAUCAUUAGCCAUUGUCAUUUCCACUGUUGCUUCAGUGUUUCUUUUUGAUUUUGUAAUAACAUUCCAGUUUGCAAUUGGCACGACCUUGGUGAUUGGCACAAUCUUCCUGUACAGCCACGAACCCAAGAAACCAGCAUCCAACCCCAUGAGUGGGAACUGGGCAUUGCAUGUAGGACUUCCAAGCACCCUCUUAGCAGAUAAGGAAGCUGGACAACACAGAAGGUGGAAGGAGUUAACUUUACUGUAUUCCAGCAUAUUGUUGACAAAAUUAAUAUUUACAGUUCAACACCUUGCAUAACAAUUUUGACAACAGGAAACCAUAUAUUUACCAGUUACAGUGAGAGGGGGAAAAUAGAUACUACUGUACCUCUAUACUCUUACCAUCUACAGUGAAAAGAUGAAGGAGAUGUAGAUGAAUGACUGCACUACCAGAAUGCAAGUGGAUUGUAUAAUAUGCACGCAGACUUGUAUAUUAUUGUUAUUCGGUAUACUGUAUUGUAAAAUAUAUUUUUGUAGCCCAGCACAGAUGAUAAUGUAAAUGGUUACUGAACUAUAUAUAUUGACGUCUGAUUGUACAGUACUUCAGUUAGUGUUUCAUAUACAGUAUUAGAAUACUAGUUUCUUUGUUUUCCCCUUUUUAAGUGUUCCAAAGUGUUUUUUGUUAUGAAAUUUCAUUGAAGGUGAUGAGAAUAUGUUUUAAAGUGUUUGUGGGAACCUCUUCCUGUUGUUUUCUACCCUUUGUUUGCAUCGUUUCCAUUAUGACAUUCUUCAUUUUUCUGUGGGUUUUGUUUCCUCUGAUUUUCACCACGCACGUGGCAAUAUAGAUAAAAACAGUAGAUAGGGAACUAUAGAAGUUGCUCAGUAUUCCUUAAACUAAUUGCAAUAUCCAUGAGCAGAAAUCUUUCGGGUGAAAGUACAGUAGGGUGCACUGGACUUGUGCUGUGAUAACUAACAAUGGUUUUCAAUAAUGACCAAUAAAGUGUUAUAUUUGU
RNAcentral lists this unclassified non-coding RNA (1975 nucleotides) under Homarus americanus (American lobster). Its description in RNAcentral is "uDP-galactose translocator-like, transcript variant X3". The record is from RNAcentral. Lineage: Eukaryota; Metazoa; Arthropoda; Malacostraca; Decapoda; Nephropidae.